GAGGAUGCGAGCGUUAUCCGGAUUCAUUGGGUUUAAAGGGUGCGUAGGCGGAAGGUCAAGUCAGCGGUCAAAUCGGGAGGCUCAACCUCCCCCCGCCGUUGAAACUGGCCUCCUUGAGUGGGCGAGAAGUACGCGGAAUGCGUGGUGUAGCGGUGAAAUGCAUAGAUAUCACGCAGAACUCCGAUUGCGAAGGCAGCGUACCGGCGCCCAACUGACGCUGAAGCACGAAAGCGUGGGUAGCGAA
This 244-nucleotide ribosomal RNA is filed under the name uncultured bacterium. RNAcentral describes it as "partial 16S ribosomal RNA". It matches the Rfam family "Bacterial small subunit ribosomal RNA", at positions 528 to 772 of the family's 1533-position model. The record is from RNAcentral.